This 3954-nucleotide long non-coding RNA is filed under the name Canis lupus familiaris (dog). RNAcentral's name for it is "lncRNA (ENSCAFG00000054229.1)". The record is from RNAcentral. Lineage: Eukaryota; Metazoa; Chordata; Mammalia; Carnivora; Canidae.
UUUUUUUUUUUUUUUUUUUAAUCCAUGUGAGACACAGAGAGAGGCAGAGGGGAAGAUGACACACAAAUUCAUGAAUAACAUGGACUUAACUAUAGAAGCCCACUUAAACACAGAUUAUUUAUAGUGUGAUAAGUGUAUUUUUCUUAUAAUUUUCUUUUCUCUAGGUGACAUUAUUGUAAGAACACAGUAUAUAAUACAUGUAACAUACAAGAUAUGUGUUAAUUGACUAUUCAUAGUUAAGCCUCCAGUCAACAGUAGGCUAUUAGUUGUUAAGUUUUGGGGGAGUCGAAAGUCCUAUGCAGAUUUUUGGCUCCACAGGGGUUGGCACUCAUAACCCCUGCAUUGUGUGAGGGUCAACUGUGGUCAUACAAAGAAAACUACUAUGAAGAAAUAAAUCCCUUUCAAAGGCACUAGGUUAUAAGAAAAUAAAUGGAGUGAUGUAAAAAAAAUUAAAAGUUUGUCUCUCCAGAAUCAUUAGUGAUUGAAUUAAGGUAUGCAGAGUUUUCAGAGAGCUGCAAGUAUAUCCUUUAACACAGAUUUAAAACAAAUUUAACCAUCUAGGGGCCCCUGAGUGGCUCAGUUAAUUGAGUGCCCAACUCUUAAUUUCAGCUCAGGUCAUAACCUCAGGGUCGUGAGAUCAUGCCCUGAGUUGGGACCCCAGCAUGGAGCCUGCUUAAGAUUCUCUCUCCCUCUUCCCGCACCCGUGUGUGCACUCUCUAAAAAAAAAAAAUUAACCAUCUUGAAUGCAAAUAUUUCUAAAAUCUACUGUAUAUCAUUUUGACUUCUUAAAUGUGCUUAUUCUUAAAAGUUUAUGAUAAGAAACAUUGUGCAAUGAUUUACAAACUUCAACAUGAGAUCAGGUGGUAGGUUGACUGAUAAGAAUCAUUUGGGAUGCCUCAUAAAAAAUAUAGAGGGGUUGCCUGGGUGGCUCAGUGGUUAAGCAUCUGCCUUUGCUCAGGGUGUGAUCCUGGAGUCCUGGGAUGGAGUCCCACAGCAGGUUCCCCUUGAGGAGGUUGCUUCUUCCUCUGCCUGUGUUUCUGCCUCUUUCUCUGUAUCUCUCAUGAAUAAAUAAAAUCUUAAAUAUAUAUAUAGAGAUUGGGGGGUGAAGAUUCUGAUUUUCUAGGGCAGGAGUAAAGCACAGAAACCUGUGCUUUUUAAAAACUUUCUCAGGUGAUUCUGAUUCAGAGCCAGUUUCAUCAACCGACUAUAAGAGAAAGAACACUUGCUUAACUAUUAGUAUUCAGGUAGCUUUAUUUGUAAUAGUUGCCCAUGUCUCAAUACACAUUGAUUUGGCAUCUAAUAUGUCCUAAUAUUCAACACUGAAAAUGGGCUUUGGUAUAUAAAGAUGAAUAAAACAUGGUCUGUCAAAGAGUUCAUAUUCAAAUAGGGGAGCCAAAUACAUAAUUAUGGUACAGUGAAUCAAUCCAAUAACAGGAUGCCAUGAAAAACAAUCACUGGACAGUGAAAGACAUCUUAUUCUAGCCAGAGCUUCCUGGAGGAGACGGCAUCUGAGGUGAAUCCUAAAGAUUGAGAUAUUAGCCAAGUGAAUUUGGAGUGAGAAUGAGAAGGGAGAAGUGGGCAAUGUACUAAGUCUCCCCCUAAUUAUACAUAUAGUAUCAGGAGUUGAUAGAAAGCAGGGAAGGAGCAGACAGCAGUUCGGAGUUCAUCUUGCAGGAAGCGGAAAGCUGCUGUAACAUAAAGUCACAGAGUGUCACUAUCAGACUUGCAUUUCAGUCAGAUGUUCUUGGCUGGAUAAGUGGUAUAUAAUUUUAAGAAGGUUAAGAAAUGGAAGGAGAAAGAGGAUUUAGGUAUCUAUGGAAGAAUUCCAUGUAUGAUAUAUCAGAGAUCUGAUAAAGGCAGUGAAAAUUGACAUGGAAAAGGGAAUACAAAUUUGAGAAAAAUGGAGGCAAAAAGACAAGAUGAUUGAUUAGAUGGGUAUGGCAGGUGGGGAGGAUAGAAAAGGAUUGGGAAGGAAAACAGAUCCAAGGAUGACUCCACCCAUUUGCAAGACUGUACGGCAAGUAACUUAUUCUAAGUGUCAUUAAUAAAACGUGGAGCCUAGGCGUGCCUGGUGGCUCAGUUGGUUAGGUGGUCAGCUCUUGAUUUCUGCUCAGAUCAUGAUCUCAGGGUCUGGGGAUCAAGCCACACGUUGGGCUCCCCUCUGAGCAGGGAGUCUGCUUGAGAUUCUGUCUUUUUGUCCCUCUGCCCCUCCCUCUGCUCUCUCUCUCUCAAAUAAAUAAUCUUUAAAAAAAUAAAAUAAAAAUAUGGAAUCUAGAUGGCCUUUAAGAGAACUUCUAUUCUAAAAGCCUAUGAAUCACUAUAAUACAGAUUACUGUAUGAUUAAAUGAUAUCCUCAAAGCUUCUUAAAGUUGACCUUACAUUAAGUGACUCCUGGACAUUUUAAGUUCACAUACCUAUUUGCUAAGUUCUCUCUUGGUUAUUUUAUCAGCUGUAAUAGUAGCUGCUGACAACAUGCCUGCUUCCAACAGUUCUUCUCUCUUCUAAGUUUUCUAUUUCAUAUGUAUACUGUAGGUAUGGAGUCUAGGUAACUAAUCUCCCUCUCUUCUGAACUACAUAGCACUUCAUUUGUAAUUCCCUAUGACAUUUCUUCAUUCCACAGUGCUUUUUCUCUUGGUUGUAUAAAUGUUUUAUGUGCCUUGUAAAGGUUAAAGCAACUAAGAAUAAAAACGGGUCUCAAAAAAAAAAAAAAACAGGUCUCCAUAUUCUUUGUGCACUUUUCCCAUAAGUGACCCCAUACACAAUCACACUGCAUACAGAACUUAAAUAAUCCAUUAGGUAUCUUUUUGCACCAAAAUUGUUAAAAUUGUGAAUACAUUAUAAAUCAACAGGCUGAGGAUCCAAGCAGCAUUUUUUUUUCCCUCAGUAGAGGUACUAUAAUGUUCAAAAGAUUUAAUAGUUUUUCAGGUUUUUGCUUAGUUCCUUAUUCCUGUGUUCUGCAUAGAUAAUAUUAAGAGUCAGAGAUACAAAAUAGAAAAAACAUCAUUAGCACAGAAAAAACUGAAGAUACUCAAGUGCAAUUUAAGAAAAGAAGCAACUAUCAAAAAAAUAAACAGAGGCAGCCCCUGGUUUUGCACAUAAUGAAUUGCUAUAAUUCUAUGUGAGGGUUAAAUAUUUACAUUUUUGUUACAAAAAUCCUUUAGAUCCACACAUCUCAUUAGUGUAAUUUGAAAAUAUAUAUCUACCAGUUUGUGUCAACUUUUUACUCUUGUCUUCCCUGAUAAUUGUACCUCACAGAUGAACUGAACAAAUUAAAGCUAAAUAGUGUGUUGUCGAUGCCAAAACUCUGCCAUGAGGGACAUGCCUGAUGAUUUUGACCUUUGUCAAUUACAAUUAACUUUAUGAGGCCCAUACAUACUUAUAAAUGUCUCAACAGAACUUUUAUUUUUCUAGCACAGUGCCUCUUUUAUCUAUUAAAAUGUUAUAUCAAAAUUCAAUUGAAUAGAUAAUUGAAUAAUUAAUAAUAAUUGAAUUGAUAAUUGUCACUUGUUCCAAAAAAGAAUGCAGUGGGGCCAAACUAAUCUAUUGACCCUCUUCCUCUAAUGCCUCGAAAGAAUCAUUCUCCAGCUGCUGAACAUCAGAGUACACAUUUUAUUUAUAAAAUAUGUCAAUUAAUAUGUCAAUUAAUAUGUAGAAAGUGCAAGUUGGAAAAACUCUAAGAAAUUGUGAGUUAACAACUGCCUACAAUUUGAAUAUUUAAGAAGGUAAGGAAUCACUGAAUUUUUAUUUUUAAUUUUUUUUAGAUUUUGCUUACUCAUUCAUGAGAGACAUAGAAAGGCAGAGACAUAGGCAGAGGGAGAAGCAGGCUCUUUGUGGGGAGCCUGAUGAGUGACUUGAUCCCAGGACCAGAGGAUCAUGACCUGAGUCAAAGGCAUUCAGCCACUGAGCCACCCAGGUGCUCCAAUUUUUUUUCUUUUUUCAAUCGAUAAUAUGUCC